UGGCACGCCCGAAGUCGUUACUCCAACCCUUGUGGAGGAGGAUGCCGAAGGUGGGGCUGAUGACUGGGGUGAAGUCGUAACAAGGUAGCCGUACCGGAAGGUGCGGCUGGAUCACCUCCUAACAGGGAGACAAUACCUGAUCGUGAUGUCUGAGUACUUUAUUCUCAGGCCAUGAUCCUGUCAUCUCGAAGGUCGAUCGGUACCUCAACUUGAGGGUAAGAGAAGAGCUGAGCAAUCAGUUUGGAGACUUACGAAUCAAUUUCAGUUCCUAAACUUUGUCUAGGUCACCCCACAGAGGGUAAAGCCGAGAGCACGAGCAGCAAUGCGAGUGCUGAACUGGCAAGCCGAAAGGCGAGCUGGAUGCGGCAACAACUCCUGGGCCAUUAGCUCAGGUGGUUAG
RNAcentral lists this unclassified non-coding RNA (400 nucleotides) under uncultured cyanobacterium. RNAcentral describes it as "partial contains 16S ribosomal RNA and 16S-23S ribosomal RNA intergenic spacer". The stretch from base 1 to 122 matches the Rfam family "Bacterial small subunit ribosomal RNA", at positions 1413 to 1533 of the family's 1533-position model. The record is from RNAcentral. Lineage: Bacteria; Bacillati; Cyanobacteriota.